AGUGGCGCACGGGUGAGUAACGCGUAGGUAACGUGCCUUCAGGUGGGGAACAACCGUGGGAAACCAUGGCUAAUACCGCAUAAUGUCGAGAGAUGAAAGCCUUCGGACGCCUGGAGAGCGGCCUGCGUCCCAUUACCUGGUUGGUAGGGUAACGGCCUACCAAGGGAGCGAUGGGUAGCUGGUCUAAGAGGAUGAUCAGCCACACUGGAACUGAGACACGGUCCAG
This 226-nucleotide ribosomal RNA is filed under the name uncultured bacterium. RNAcentral's name for it is "partial 16S ribosomal RNA". It matches the Rfam family "Bacterial small subunit ribosomal RNA", at positions 94 to 334 of the family's 1533-position model. The record is from RNAcentral.